RNAcentral lists this non-coding RNA (29 nucleotides) under Mus musculus (house mouse). Lineage: Eukaryota; Metazoa; Chordata; Mammalia; Rodentia; Muridae. The record is from RNAcentral.
UGAUAAGUAUGGGGAAGUCUUCAGUGUGU